This 253-nucleotide ribosomal RNA is filed under the name uncultured bacterium. RNAcentral describes it as "partial 16S ribosomal RNA". It matches the Rfam family "Bacterial small subunit ribosomal RNA", at positions 524 to 776 of the family's 1533-position model. The record is from RNAcentral.
UACGUAGGGUGCGAGUGUUGUCCGGAAUUACUGGGCGUAAAGAGCUCGUAGGUGGUUUGUCGCGUUGUUCGUGAAAACUCACAACUCAAUUGUGGGCGUGCGGGCGAUACGGGCAGACUAGAGUACUGCAGGGGAGACUGGAAUUCCUGGUGUAGCGGUGGAAUGCGCAGAUAUCAGGAGGAACACCGGUGGCGAAGGCGGGUCUCUGGGCAGUAACUGACGCUGAGGAGCGAAAGCGUGGGGAGCGAACAGG